CGAGGAAGCCAGCAGGAUGGGGAGCAGAGCCGGGGGCAGGGAGGGAGGGGCUGAGCCACCCACCUUGGGAAGCCUCGCAGGGGACAGCUGCAGGGGAGGCUGGUCAGAUCAAAAGGAGGGAGGCCAGCGGGGCUCUGCAGAGAUUCAGGUGGGGUGGGGGCUCAGCCGGCUGAGAAGUGGUCAGACUAGGAUGGUGCCGUGUGAGGAGGCCCGUCCACUACCGGGAGACAAGGUGGGCUGGACAAAGCCCUUGUGGCAGGACAAGGAUGGUGGUGGCUAGUGCAGCGAAGGUGCAGCAGCUCGCAAGGCGGUCCUGUGGCCUCAGCCUCCAGGUUGGGAGGCAGUAUGGGGGAUGGAGGCAGGAGGCCUGGUGGGCUGUCUGGAGGGGAAGGCCCUGAAGGGAGGGUCAGUCACUCCUACAGCACUGGGGACACGCAGAUUUAAAGGGAGGGCAUGGCCCCAGUUGUGUGUCGUGCCCUUGCAACACUUGGUGUGGGUGGCGCAAGCUCAGAGCAAGCGGAGUGCUAGCCUCCACCAGUGCUGUGGUUUGGUUGCACAAGUAAGAAGGGUUGGGGUGUCUGCAGAGGAGUGGCUGAGUGACAGACCAGGGACUCACAGUGGGCACAGAGAAGGUGCAGAAAAGGGGGUGCAGGGAGAGGGCAGAGCCCAUAGGCCACAGCAAGGUGUGAGCCCCUGCGUGUGGGAGUCUUGCCUCCUUGCCAGAGCCAGAAAGGGGGGCGCACCGGGAGCAAGAUGGCUGCUGCUUGCAGAGAGCCUAGGGGCUGACCCAGGCAGAGGGCAGCGGGUGGAGGCUCGGUCCUUGAGGGGAGGCCAUGGGGAGGUGGGGGACGCAGGAAUCACCAGCAGUUACACCUGGUACUGAAGUGGAUCGAUACUUCCGUGAGUGGAGUGGCUAGAGAAUCACUGUUCAGCCUCCUUUCCCAUUUGUUUCCAUAUGUGAUGUGAUGUGUGUGAGUGGCCCGUCACGGAGCCAUGGGUCAGGCUGGCCUUUCAGUCAGCUGCUCACUCUGCUUGGAGCCGACAGAAUAUAGUCAGCUACUCUUAAAUUUAAUGUCAUUCUGGCCAAACUACAGCUUGUUCAGUUGACCCAUAUUGGCUGAGUGCUUGCUGCACAAAGAACACUCGACAGGCUGCAGUAAUACAAAGCUAAGUGGGAACAGCGCGGCCCCCACAGAGUUCCCCGCCUGCAGGCCCAAGCAUCAGAGUACCUACUGAUAGAAUCCGGUGGGUGCCGCACAAGAGAGAAAUGGGGACCUGCGCGUUUUCAGGAUGGAGAAAGGCCAUUCCUUAGGAGGUACUGGGAAAAGAAGCUGGUUCUGCAGGAGGUUCAGUGCGGUGACUGGAGCACAGCUUUGAGGUCACCAGGGCCCGGCCCCAUGGUGAGCUCAAGAGUCCCUGUCUAUAAAUGUGGUGACACUCCAGCCCCCGCUUGUUGGACUGCACUUGGAGUUGUUUCUCCUCCUAGUAAUUCAUAAUUCCUGAACACUCUCCAUGUGUCCCCUUAUCUCACCCUACUGGCGACCCUCAAGGUUACAUCUGAUGGAAUAAUAACCACCGUGAAAAUGGUGUCUCUGAAGUUCUCAACAUCUUCUACUUCUUUAAAGUUCCCCUAGUCUCUUCAUGGUUAAAUGUUUUUCACUUAAGGAAUUACUUAGCCUUUGUUUAUUGAUAGCUCAAAGGCAGAACUUUAGUUUUAACUCCUUUUUGAAGCAUCAGAUAUUCUAAAUGGGUGAAAUCUGAAUUAAUGAGUUUUGGUUGAUACUUUGAAACUUGAAUAGGGUGCCCUUCCCCGCCCUUAUUCUUUGGAGACUGUCUGAGUUUUCUUCUUCAUCCUAGGAGCGUAAAUUGACUCCAUUUCUGCCUUUUAGUUACUCACCAAGAAUCCUGACCAACGCCUGGGUGCAAGGGCGACGGAGCAAAGGGUGUCAGAGGGCACCCUGUGUUCAAGGACAUUAACUUCAAGAGGCUGGAAGCACGCACGCUGGAUCCCCCUUUCUGUCCUGAUAUGAUCGGGUCAGAAUGCUUCAGGGACAUCAGUGAAAGUGAAAAUGAUGAAAAUGUGGCAUUAGUUCUGGAAAAGAAAACGUGUCAACCAGUUCCUAGCCCAAAAAGAGGCUUCUUCUAUAGGUUGCUCAGGAGAGGGGUAAGAGCAGGCGCCGGGCUUGGGGGGCUCCACCUGAGGUGCUGUGGGAAGAGAAAUGGUCCCCAAGGCAAAGACAGCUUUCUUUUCUCCUGCCUCUACAUAAGACACUUCACAGGGCCGAAGAGCCAGCCCUGGGGCACUCUGAGCCCAGCCAGAAAGUCCUCAGGAUGGGGUUGCUGUCGGGAUGAAACCUGUUCUCUGUCCGUGGUGAAGCAUUCGGCCCAGGCUGAGGGUCGUCACAGGCGGCAUGCGACAUUUCAGCUUCUGCAUGGCCCGCCCGGAUUGGCAGCUGCUCCCUGUAGCUUUCACAGGGAACGCUGAUGCUCUUUGGAAAAGGGACGGUGGUUUGGACAUACUUUCUGCUGUACCAUUACGUUUAGAAUUUUUUUCUCCAAGUGAAGUUUUUCUCCUUGGGCUAGAGGGUUGUCCCACUCUGUACCCUGCCUGUUCUCAAGGGCUUUAUUCAGAAGUUGUCCACUAGCAUUCUCAUACCUCUCUUUUCAGUGUUAAAAACAAGCCUUAGGUGGUAAAAUCUCUGAGAGUGCGUUUACCAUGCCCGCAUUUCCUCGGAGGGCUGGAGGCUUGGGGGAACUCACACCCUCACUCUCCGGGAAGCCCGGCUCUCGGGGUGCAGUGAGUCCUGCUGGAGGAGCUGCCCCCACCCCUGGAGGGGCCGUUCGGGGGUUGGGGGGCACAGCUGGUCAGCUGUAGCAAUGCUUGGUGCCUCUCCCCCGGCCUGAGCCAGGAGGGAGCCGGGUCCUCACUCCCUCAGAGCUCAGCUCUGGACUGAAUUCCGGAGCAUGCAAGGGCCUGAGGCAUUGGCGUGUGUGUCUGGGGACCGUGCAAUCCAUACGGUGAAGUACACAAAAGGAAAUACUUAAGGGUGUUGCCUGCCUACAGUCAGUCGCCAGGGGAGUUCGGCCUGCUUGCAUCAGAAAGCGACUGACAGCCAUCUGCAUGCGCUCCAGGGCUGCAUUGGUGCUGGCACCGGCGAGGAGCGGUGGCUCUCCGGAAGGCUGUGAUCCUCCCUGCCCAGACCGACCCCGACACCAGGGAGCACUUGCUCAGUGUUGUCCCAUCUGUGAAUUGCAAUAAACAUAUGACACGUCUUAAAACGUG
Long non-coding RNA from Manis pentadactyla (Chinese pangolin), 3283 nucleotides. RefSeq lists it as uncharacterized. The record is from RefSeq and is a predicted model, not a curated record. The transcript has 2 exons. NCBI's taxonomy places the organism in Eukaryota, Metazoa, Chordata, Mammalia, Pholidota, Manidae.